Molecule: ribosomal RNA, 253 nt
Filed under: uncultured bacterium
Lineage: Bacteria
Description: partial 16S ribosomal RNA
Rfam family: Bacterial small subunit ribosomal RNA
Source: RNAcentral
UACGUAGGGGGCUAGCGUUGUCCGGAAUCAUUGGGCGUAAAGCGCGUGUAGGCGGCCCGGUAAGUCCGCUGUGAAAGCCCACGGCUCAACCGUGGAGGGUCAUUGGAAACUGGGGGACUUGAGUGCAGGAGAGAAGAGUGGAAUUCCACGUGUAGCGGUGAAAUGCGUAGAGAUGUGGAGGAACACCAGUGGCGAAGGCGACUCUUUGGCCUGUAACUGACGCUGAGGCGCGAAAGCGUGGGGAGCAAACAGG